GUGAAGACGGGGAGAGGUGAAGACGGGGAGAGAGGUGAAGACGGGGAGAGAGGUGAAGACGGGGAGAGGUGAAGACGGGGAGAGGUGAAGACGGGGAGAGGUGAAGACGGGGAGAGGUGAAGACGGGGAGAGAGGUGAAGACGGGGAGAGAGGUGAAGACGGGGAGAGAGGUGAAGACGGGGAGAGAGGUGAAGACGGGGAGAGAGGUGAAGACUGGGAGAGAGGUGAAGACGGGGAGAGAGGUGAAGACGGGGAGAGAGGUGAAGACGGGGAGAGAGGUGAAGACGGGGAGAGAGGUGAAGACUGGGAGAGAGGUGAAGACGGGGAGAGAGGUGAAGACGGGGAGAGAGGUGAAGACGGGGAGAGAGGUGAAGACGGGGAGAGAGGUGAAGACGGGGAGAGGUGAA
Molecule: long non-coding RNA, 407 nt
Organism: Oncorhynchus keta (chum salmon)
Lineage: Eukaryota; Metazoa; Chordata; Actinopteri; Salmoniformes; Salmonidae
Exons: 7
Source: RefSeq, a predicted model, not a curated record